GACGAACGCUGGCGGCGUGCUUAACACAUGCAAGUCGAACGGAAAGGCCCUGCUUUUGUGGGGUGCUCGAGUGGCGAACGGGUGAGUAACACGUGAGUAACCUGCCCUUGACUUUGGGAUAACUUCAGGAAACUGGGGCUAAUACCGGAUAUGAGCUCCUGCUGCAUGGUGGGGGUUGGAAAGUUUCGGCGGUUGGGGCUGGACUCGCGGCUUAUCAGCUUGUUGGUGGGGUAGUGGCUUACCAAGGCUUUGACGGGUAGCCGGCCUGAGAGGGUGACCGGCCACAUUGGGACUGAGGUACGGCCCAGACUGCUACGGGAGGCAGCAGUGGGGAAUAUUGCACAAUGGGCGGAAGCCUGAUGCAGCAACGCCGCGUGCGGGAUGACGGCCUUCGGGUUGUAAACCGCUUUCGCCUGUGACGAAGCGUGAGUGACGGUAAUGGGUAAAGAAGCACCGGCUAACUACGUG
This 468-nucleotide ribosomal RNA is filed under the name uncultured bacterium. Its description in RNAcentral is "partial 16S ribosomal RNA". It matches the Rfam family "Bacterial small subunit ribosomal RNA", at positions 28 to 507 of the family's 1533-position model. The record is from RNAcentral.